Phyllopteryx taeniolatus (common seadragon) is the source of this 264-nucleotide long non-coding RNA. RefSeq lists it as uncharacterized. NCBI's taxonomy places the organism in Eukaryota, Metazoa, Chordata, Actinopteri, Syngnathiformes, Syngnathidae. The transcript has 3 exons. The record is from RefSeq and is a predicted model, not a curated record.
GGCGAAUUGUCAUUUCGCAGUGUUGGAGGUUGAGUGGCCGGCCCUCCUGCUGUAAUUUAUCACGCAGCCCCAUAAAGGUUUGGGCCCCUUGUGUCAGUCAGUCAUCACUCUCCAUCAACUCAUGCCUUGUCCAGAAACUCCAAAUGUGUCAUAUACUGACCCACAGUGUCUGCCCAUCACUUCGAGGAUGAAGGUCCUCUGGUGGCUGUGAAUACACAUAUGGAACAGUGGUAACCCUCACGAGCGCACUACUGUACACCCACC